Molecule: ribosomal RNA, 642 nt
Filed under: uncultured bacterium
Lineage: Bacteria
Description: bacterial SSU rRNA
Rfam family: Bacterial small subunit ribosomal RNA
Source: RNAcentral
AUGCAGUCGAACGGCAGCACGGAGCUUGCUCUGGUGGCGAGUGGCGAACGGGUGAGUAAUAUAUCGGAACGUACCCUAGAGUGGGGGAUAACGUAGCGAAAGUUACGCUAAUACCGCAUACGAUCUAAGGAUGAAAGUGGGGGAUCGCAAGACCUCAUGCUCGUGGAGCGGCCGAUAUCUGAUUAGCUAGUUGGUAGGGUAAAAGCCUACCAAGGCAUCGAUCAGUAGCUGGUCUGAGAGGACGACCAGCCACACUGGAACUGAGACACGGUCCAGACUCCUACGGGAGGCAGCAGUGGGGAAUUUUGGACAAUGGGCGAAAGCCUGAUCCAGCAAUGCCGCGUGAGUGAAGAAGGCCUUCGGGUUGUAAAGCUCUUUUGUCAGGGAAGAAACGGUGAAAGCUAAUAUCUUUUGCUAAUGACGGUACCUGAAGAAUAAGCACCGGCUAACUACGUGCCAGCAGCCGCGGUAAUACGUAGGGUGCAAGCGUUAAUCGGAAUUACUGGGCGUAAAGCGUGCGCAGGCGGUUUUGUAAGUCUGAUGUGAAAUCCCCGGGCUCAACCUGGGAAUUGCAUUGGAGACUGCAAGGCUAGAAUCUGGCAGAGGGGGGUAGAAUUCCACGUGUAGCAGUGAAAUGCGUAG